AUUCUAGACAAUAAACAAAACAGUAAAUGAAGUUGUGAAUUGUAGUUCUUGCCUAUUUUAUUUCUGAGGUUUAAAAUUUACACUGAAAAUUUCACAUUGGCCUAGAUGAGUCAAUUCUAGUAUACCCCUGAUCAGAAUAUUGGGGAUUCAGUGGUAUUAGAACUAAAAGGUAUGUGCACCAAGUUCAUCAUAAAUAUGCCAAGUCAUUUAGCAGCAGAAGACCAACAGGCUGCCUAAGGAUGAGUGAAUAUUCAAAGCUAGGAAAAUAGAUCAGGUUAAAGCUUCUAGAUAGGUAAGUAUUGGGAUCAGACCAGGGAUGUGUUGGAGCCAAUUUCUAUUUGCUAAGAAAAAGUUUUGUUACAUUUUAAAUGUGAGUAUUUAUACCUCCAAAAAAUACUACUAAUCAGAGCUUGACUUACUGUUUUGUUCUCUCUCUAGACUUGAUGAAGUUAUGGAGAAAAUACCAAUACUGCAUAUUGCAUUUAAAAUUGUGGAGACGUUGUUGUUAUUUACCAGCAGAACUCUAGAUUGCAAAAUCUAUGAAUGGCUGCUGCACUCCCAUCUCUGUUGUAAUUGCCAUUUCACUGGACCUAUUCUUAAUCUUACUUUGGAAAGAAAAUAGAAAGUCUCCUAACCAAUAAGAGAGAUUGUUCAUCUGGGACUGAGCUAUCAAGUUUUAAGAAGAUUGAAGAGAGCUAUAAGUUAAUGAAUGAGACCAUCAUAUUUCUUAAUAUGGCAAAGAAGAAAAUGGAAACAAGAGUUCUCUUUCCUCUACGGGUUGAGGAGGCGCCAGUAUGCUAUCUGGGAACAGCAGGAAGCAGUGCUCUCUAGUGAUCUGGGGACAGUUUCAGUUGUUUGGAGAGAAGAUGUACCAAAAUAUGGAGGAUCUCAGCUACACUAAAAAUAUACUUUUGAAGAGAAGAAUCUCAGCCACUGAAGAUGGCAGAUAGCAGAUAACUGAAAGGAAAUUUAAAUAACAACCCAGGGAUGCUUCUCAGUAUCUCUACCUGGAUCACAUUUAAAGUUACAUAAUUCUAUAAUGAUCCUAAGUUGCUCCCUGCUACUUUCCAGCAGCUGGGUGACAGAGUAGAUACAUCAAGCCUGAUGCCAGAAAGACCUGCGUUCAGAUUUUGUCUGAUACUUACUAGUUAUGUAGACCUAGGAGAUUUAUGGAACUUCUGCCUCAGUUUCCUUGACUGUAAAAUGAGGAUUAUAAUGUUACCUACUUCCCAAAGUUGUUGUGAGAAUUGAAUGAGAAAAUAUUUGUAAAGUGUUUCGCAGAAUUGUAGGCACAUGGCAAGAGCAUAAUAAAUGCUUUGUUGUUAUUGCUAUUGUUUUUAAA
RNAcentral lists this long non-coding RNA (1342 nucleotides) under Monodelphis domestica (gray short-tailed opossum). RNAcentral describes it as "lncRNA (ENSMODG00000043891.1)". The record is from RNAcentral. Lineage: Eukaryota; Metazoa; Chordata; Mammalia; Didelphimorphia; Didelphidae.